Molecule: ribosomal RNA, 497 nt
Filed under: uncultured bacterium
Lineage: Bacteria
Description: partial 16S ribosomal RNA
Rfam family: Bacterial small subunit ribosomal RNA
Source: RNAcentral
GAUGAACGCUGGCGGCGUGCCUAAUACAUGCAAGUCGAGCGAACGGACGAGAAGCUUGCUUCCCUGAUGUUAGCGGCGGACGGGUGAGUAACACGUGGAUAACCUACCUAUAAGACUGGGAUAACUUCGGGAAACCGGAGCUAAUACCGGAUGAUAUUUUGAACCGCAUGGUUCAAAAGUGAAAGACGGUCUUGCUGUCACUUAUAGAUGGAUCCGCGCUUGAUUAGCUAGUUGGUAAGGUAACGGCUUACCAAGGCAACGAUGCAUAGCCGACCUGAGAGGGUCAUCGGCCACCCUGUAACUGAGACACGUCCCAGACUCCUACGGGAGGCAGCAGCAGGGACUCUUACGCAAUGGGGGAAUGCCGGACGGAGCAACGCCGCGUGAGUGCUGAAGGUCUUCGGAUCGUAAAGUUCUGUUAUUAGUGAAGAACAUAUGUGUAAGUAACUGUGCACAUCUUGACGGUACCUAAUCAGAAAGCCACGGCUAACUACGUG